Non-coding RNA from Coffea arabica (coffee), 1766 nucleotides. Lineage: Eukaryota; Viridiplantae; Streptophyta; Magnoliopsida; Gentianales; Rubiaceae. The record is from RefSeq and is a predicted model, not a curated record.
AUACCAUACUAUUGCCUUCCAGUCUAAAUUCAUUUUUUUUAAACAGAUAUGUUUCCCUUCUACUAAUAUUAAAAUCCCCGCAAAGCUAAAGCAUAUGCAAAGUAAGGCAAUGAGAUUAGGGGGAGUGUUCUUCGCAAAAGGAGAAAAACAGAAGAAAAGAAUAAUAUGAGUAACUCCCCGCCUUGCUUUCCAUUAUUACAUAUUGUAUAACCAUAAUACCGUCUCUCUUUUGGCUAUAUAAAGCCCUUUCCUCCGUCCCGGAACAUAUAAGCUACCACAUGGCUUGAUACGUGGGGAGUUCAUAUUUGAACCUACCGCUGAGAUCAUUCUCUCCUUUUCACUCUCUCUGUCUAUACGUGUGUGUUUAUGUGCGUGCUUUGGGCUAAUUAGGGCAUCUCCAGUCCUACAUAUAAUUUUGAUGCGGUUGGAUUGAGGUUUGGAUAUACCUUAAAAAAGAGAGCUUUCUUCAGUCCACUCAUGGGUGGCAGUAGGAUUCAAUUAGCUGCCGACUCAUUCAUCCAAAUGCUGAGUAAGAUUGGUACUCAGUAACUGAGUGAAUGAUGCGGGAGAAAAAUUGAUUCUUAAGCUUCCUGUACUUGGACUGAAGGGAGCUCCCUUUACUUUUAUCAUCUAUAUUAGCCUGAGAUUCGGCCUUUUCAGUCUUCAUCAGCUCUAGUCUUGCAGGUAGAUAUGUUUUGCUUAUUCUGCACCUCAACAUACAGCAGGCAAAAGUAGAAGAUAAGUGUAGAUUACUAAUAGAGUACUAUAUUCUGCAUAUGAUGAUGUUUGACUCAUCAUGAGCUUGAGGGCUUGGUUUGUUUAAAGAAACCGAUUAUACAUCUUGACUAGAUUCUGUGACCAUGAUGUUUGUCUUUCUAACAUUAUUAUAUGGAGAAUUUAGUUGUUUAGGGAAGAGCUUCACCACUAAUCAACUAACCCAUUUUCGCAUGUCGAUUGUCUUUUUCUUUCAUUUGUAUGCUAGGCAUAUGUUGAAUGUUAAUUCAACUAUAACCCCAGUGGAUGGGAAACAAUGGAUUUAGGGUUUCGUCAAAGUGACUUUCUUGUCAUGCUGUAAACGCUCUACGACAAUGCGUUUCUUGGUUAUUGCCCACUUAUUGCAUCAAGUUCCCAGAUAUGUCUCUCAGAAGCUGAUGCAAUUACCAAAAUAUCCUCGUCAUCCAUCCAAAGUUCCAACUGUGGGUAUACCUUGAAAAUAUGCUAGUGCUAAAUUUAUACCAGCUAGUAUACUUCUCUUCGAUUUAUCCUUUUCGGUUUCUUUGGUAAGCAUGUCAAGAUUUAUUCGUGUCUUCUGAUUUUUUUUUUCCUUUUCCUUUUUAUGAUCCACAAUCUUGUUUUAGCUGCAAGUUCUCAAGAAGAUCGACCAAUGAGCCAAGGGAUUCAUUACAUCCAAAAAUUGGCAGAAUGUUUCAAAGGACGUACUUUCUUGGACCCAUGAAGAGAAAUCAUCCAGAGCUCCUGAACAGGAGGAUGCUCCCAGCCUCAAGGCUAUAAACAUAGUGAUAUUGUAGAAGGUGCAGUCAGUUAAUUUACCACUAAUCUGUGUCUUGACUAGGGGUUAACUGGUCUAAAUUUGCAUAGCUUUCCAGUAGAUCUUGAUCCUUUAUAACAUUAGACCAGCUCUCGUGUACUUGACUUUGUGUAUUAAUUUAAUAUCCAUUGUAUAACUAGGGCCAAUUCCUGAAGUUUGUACUUUUUUAGAUGGUUUGUAUGGAUGGUGACAUUAUAAUUAGGGCCAAUUCCUCGUU